GUCNAACGGCAGCGCGGACUUCGGUCUGGCGGCGAGUGGCGAACGNNNGAGUAAUGCAUCGGAACGUACCUUUCAGUGGGGGAUAACGUAGCGAAAGUUACGCUAAUACCGCAUAUUCUGUGAGCAGGAAAGCAGGGGAUCGCAAGACCUUGCGCUGAUGGAGCGGCCGAUGUCAGAUUAGCUAGUCGGUGGGGUAAAGGCUCACCAAGGCGACGAUCUGUAGCGGGUCUUAGAGGAUGAUCCGCCACACUGGAACUGAGACACGGUCCAGACUCCUACGGGAGGCAGCAGUGGGGAAUUUUGGACAAUGGGCGCAAGCCUGAUCCAGCCAUGCCGCGUGAGUGAAGAAGGCCUUCGGGUUGUAAAGCUCUUUCGGCCGGGAAAAAAUCGCUUGGGUUAAUACCCUGAGUGGAUGAUGGUACCGGAAUAAGAAGCACCGGCUAACUACGUGCCAGCAGCCGCGGUAAUACGUAGGGUGCGAGCGUUAAUCGGAAUUACUGGGCGUAAAGCGUGCGCAGGCGGUUUUGUAAGACAGGCGUGAAAUCCCCGGGCUCAACCUGGGAACUGCGUUUGUGACUGCAAGGCUAGAGUAUGGCAGAGGGGGGUGGAAUUCCACGUGUAGCAGUGAAAUGCGUAGAGAUGUGGAGGAACACCAAUGGCGAAGGCAGCCCCCUGGGCCAAUACUGACGCUCAUGCACGAAAGCGUGGGGAGCAAACAGGAUUAGAUACCCUGGUAGUCCACGCCCUAAACGAUGUCAACUAGGUGUUGGGUGG
This 774-nucleotide ribosomal RNA is filed under the name uncultured bacterium. RNAcentral describes it as "bacterial SSU rRNA". It matches the Rfam family "Bacterial small subunit ribosomal RNA", at positions 61 to 830 of the family's 1533-position model. The record is from RNAcentral.